RNAcentral lists this ribosomal RNA (440 nucleotides) under uncultured bacterium. Its description in RNAcentral is "bacterial SSU rRNA". It matches the Rfam family "Bacterial small subunit ribosomal RNA", at positions 338 to 795 of the family's 1533-position model. The record is from RNAcentral.
CCUACGGGGGGCUGCAGUCGGGAAUUUUGGGCAAUGGGCGAAAGCCUGACCCAGCAACGCCGCGUGAAGGAUGAAGUAUUUCGGUAUGUAAACUUCGAAAGAAUGGGAAGAAUAAAUGACGGUACCAUUUAUAAGGUCCGGCUAACUACGUGCCAGCAGCCGCGGUAAUACGUAGGGACCAAGCGUUGUUCGGAUUUACUGGGCGUAAAGGGCGCGUAGGCGGCGUGUCAAGUCAAUUGUGAAAUCUCCGAGCUUAACUCGGAACUGCCAAUUGAUACUGAUGUGCUAGAGUGCAGAAGGGGCAAUCGGAAUUCUUGGUGUAGCGGUGAAAUGCGUAGAUAUCAAGAGGAACACCUGAGGUGAAGACGGGUUGCUGGGCUGACACUGACGCUGAGGCGCGAAAGCUAGGGUAGCAAACGGGAUUAGAUACCCUAGUAGUC